RNAcentral lists this ribosomal RNA (430 nucleotides) under Pseudomonadota bacterium. RNAcentral describes it as "Proteobacteria bacterium partial 16S ribosomal RNA". It matches the Rfam family "Bacterial small subunit ribosomal RNA", at positions 355 to 776 of the family's 1533-position model. Lineage: Bacteria; Pseudomonadati; Pseudomonadota. The record is from RNAcentral.
UGGGGAAUAUUGGACAAUGGGGGGAACCCUGAUCCAGCCAUGCCGCGUGUGUGAAGAAGGCCUUAUGGUUGUAAAGCACUUUAAGCGAGGAGGAGGGUACUGGUAUUAAUACUACCAGCUACUGGACGUUACUCGCAGAAUAAGCACCGGCUAACUCUGUGCCAGCAGCCGCGGUAAUACAGAGGGUGCGAGCGUUAAUCGGAUUUACUGGGCGUAAAGCGUGCGUAGGCGGCUAAUUGAGUCGGAUGUGAAAUCCCCGAGCUUAACUUGGGAAUUGCAGUCGAUACUGGUUAGCUAGAGUGUGGGAGAGGAUGGUAGAAUUCCAGGUGUAGCGGUGAAAUGCGUAGAGAUCUGGAGGAAUACCGAUGGCGAAGGCAGCCAUCUGGCCUAACACUGACGCUGAGGUACGAAAGCAUGGGGAGCAAACAGG